Long non-coding RNA from Onychostoma macrolepis, 391 nucleotides. RefSeq lists it as uncharacterized. The transcript is spliced from 3 exons. The record is from RefSeq and is a predicted model, not a curated record. NCBI's taxonomy places the organism in Eukaryota, Metazoa, Chordata, Actinopteri, Cypriniformes, Cyprinidae.
CCACGUGUCUGCUCUUCCCUUCCUCUUUCUCCCAGGACAGCUGGAUGAAGGGACGCUGGACGUAGCUGUAGAUGACCUCGGAUUUCCCACCUGGACGCCGCUUCACCUUCUCCUUACAGCAUUACCUCCGAUUGGUGGAAUGACCUGGUCAAGCAGUUUCAUACUGGUGCGUUUCCAGAUCUUCUUAAUAAUUGCACGCAGCUCUUCAUUGGCCUGCUCGAAAUUACCUGAUGGAUGAAAAUUCAGAGAAUUCAUGCCUUAAUGGGCAACACGAUGGGGGCAGAACUUUCCAAAUCCAAGCGGUGGCUGGAUUCUCCUCAGCAGCGUCACGACAUCCAGGUGUUUAAUGCGCCCCCUGCAGAACAACACCAGAAUAACACAGAGAAUCAGA